AUUGAACGCUGGCGGCAGGCCUAACACAUGCAAGUCGAGCGGAUGAAGGGAGCUUGCUCCUGGAUUCAGCGGCGGACGGGUGAGUAUGCCUAGGAAUCUGCCUGGUAGUGGGGAUAACGUCCGGAAACGGGCGCUAAUACCGCAUACGUCCUGAGGGAGAAAGUGGGGGAUCUUCGGACCUCACGCUAUCAGAUGAGCUUAGGUCGGAUUAGCUAGUUGGUGGGGUAAAGGCCUACCAAGGCGACGAUCCGUAACUGGUCUGAGAGGAUGAUCAGUCACACUGGAACUGGGACACGGUCCAGACUCCUACGGGAGGCAGCAGUGGGGAAUAUUGGACAAUGGGCGAAAGCCUGAUCCAGCCAUGCCGCGUGUGUGAAGAAGGUCUUCGGAUUGUAAAGCACUUUAAGUGGGGAGGAAGGGCAGUAAGUUAAUACCUUGCUGUUUUGACGUUACCAACAGAAUAAGCACCGGCUAACUUCGUG
This 482-nucleotide ribosomal RNA is filed under the name uncultured bacterium. Its description in RNAcentral is "partial 16S ribosomal RNA". It matches the Rfam family "Bacterial small subunit ribosomal RNA", at positions 30 to 507 of the family's 1533-position model. The record is from RNAcentral.